GUGGGGAAUUUUGGACAAUGGGCGCAAGCCUGAUCCAGCCAUUCCGCGUGCAGGAUGAAGGCCUUCGGGUUGUAAACUGCUUUUGUACGGAACGAAAAGCCUCUGGUUAAUACCCGGGGGUCAUGACGGUACCGUAAGAAUAAGCACCGGCUAACUACGUGCCAGCAGCCGCGGUAAUACGUAGGGUGCGAGCGUUAAUCGGAAUUACUGGGCGUAAAGCGUGCGCAGGCGGUGAUGUAAGACAGUUGUGAAAUCCCCGGGCUCAACCUGGGAACUGCAUCUGUGACUGCAUUGCUGGAGUGCGGCAGAGGGGGAUGGAAUUCCGCGUGUAGCAGUGAAAUGCGUAGAUAUGCGGAGGAACACCAGUGGCGAAGGCGACCACCUGGACUGAUACUGACACUGAGGUGCGAAAGCGUGGGGAGCAAACAGGAUUAGAAACCCCUGUAGUCC
This 450-nucleotide ribosomal RNA is filed under the name uncultured bacterium. RNAcentral's name for it is "partial 16S ribosomal RNA". It matches the Rfam family "Bacterial small subunit ribosomal RNA", at positions 354 to 796 of the family's 1533-position model. The record is from RNAcentral.